Molecule: ribosomal RNA, 400 nt
Filed under: uncultured bacterium
Lineage: Bacteria
Description: bacterial SSU rRNA
Rfam family: Bacterial small subunit ribosomal RNA
Source: RNAcentral
UAGGGAAUAUUGGUCAAUGGACGCAAGUCUGAACCAGCCAUGCCGCGUGCAGGAUUAAGGCCUUAUGGGUCGUAAACUGCUUUUAUAUGGGAAGAAACCCUUGGUCGUGACCGAGGUUGACGGUACCAUAGGAAUAAGGAUCGGCUAACUCCGUGCCAGCAGCCGCGGUAAUACGGAGGAUCCGAGCGUUAUCCGGAUUUACUGGGUUUAAAGGGUGCGUAGGCGGAUUGAUAAGUCAGAGGUGAAAUCCAACAGCUUAACUGUUGAACUGCCUUUGAUACUGUCAGUCUUGAGUAUAGUUGGAGUGGAUGGAAUUUGUCAUGUAGCGGUGAAAUGCUUAGAUAUGACAAAGAACACCAAUCGCGAAGGCAGUUCACUAAACUAUAACUGACGCUGAGGC